AAUGAAGAGGAUAACAUAAUACUGAGCUAAAAAUUUUGUGUAAAAUAUGUUUUCAGUUUAGUUUACAAUACAAGCUGUAAAUGUGCUGGAGAUUUUAUUGAUGUUGAAGCUUGUAAACAAAACCAAUAAACGUAGGACUUAUUCACGGCAAUGUAUGGGAACCAGAGCUGAGAACCAGUCUAGAAGGCAAAGAAAAUUCCGCCAAGUAAACAACAAAGAAAGGGAUUUGGGAUGUUGUCAGUUGUAUACAUUAUGUGGGCCGGUGACUGCAAGAAGCAAGGAAUGUGGAGCUAAUGCAUGCUGCUAAGGAUGGAAAGUUCUUGUGUUUAUUGGUUGUUCCUGAGACACCAGUCACAGUUGUACCUUAUUUCCAUUUUAGAAGCAAGGAAUGUGGAGCUAAUGCAUGCUGCUAAGGAUGGAAAAGUCUUGUGUAUAUUGGUUGUGCCUGAGACACCAGUCACAGUUGUACCUUAUUUCCAUUUUAGAUGCAAGGAAUGUGGAGCUAAUGCAUGCUGCUAAGGAUGGAAAGGUCUUGUGUAUAUUGGUUGUGCCUGAGACACCAGUCACAGUUGUACCUUAUUUCCAUUUUAGGGAGUCUAUAUACACUUGAGAGGUGAGCAUCAGAUUUAAUUUUGAAGAUUGAUGACCUUCAGAUGUUGUGAUGACGAUUGUUGAAAGAGAUUAUCAACAUAGAACCAAUCCAUAUGAAUGUGCAAGUCAGGACUUGUACAACACCUGAGUACCCAGAUGACUGUUGAACUAAUUGAUGAACAAGAAAAGAUGUAAGAGAGGGGAAUCCAAAACAGAUGUCAUGAUCAAGAAAAUGUACUGUUAUCAAUGAUAUGAUCAAAAAUUUGUAAACUUGUAGUGAUUUAGAAUAUCUUAUCUGUAAUAUAACUCUUCAAUACUUAAUUGUUCACACAUUAUCAUCUUAUCUGUAUAUUAAUCGCCCCCUCUUAUAUAACCCCCUGCUGAUUGUAAUGACCUGUGUAUUGAUUCCUGAUCUUAAGGAUCUUAUACAUGUAAUGUGCUCCUGAUCGUCAGGAGCGGAUCUUGAGUACAGGUGUAUAUAUAUAGUGCGACAGAAUUUUAGAAUAAGAUAGGAAGAUGGAAAUAUAGAAGACUUAGUAGAUAGAACUGUUAGAGAUAGAUAAAGUUACUUACUUACUUGGAAUAUAACCUAAUAUUUCUUGGAUUUAUAUGUACAUGUGAUUAUUUAACUUGGAUUUUAUUUUUAGUGAAUUAUUUUUCCUGAAUGUUUCUUUUUGUGAUGUGCUGUGUAAAUAAACUGUAGACUAGAAUUUCGGCAAGAUAUGAGGAACAAGGAUAAAUUGAUUUAUUCAUGCAAACUGACAUUAUGAAAUGUGUUAUAAGACUGCCUGAUGCGGCGCUACAAACUAACUAGUAAAUAUCUUGGAGAUUUAUAGAUGAACAUGCAAGCAUUCUUGGUUUUAAAUGUUAUUCAUUCAGAGUUUUUGCACAAAUUCAAUUUUCAGUACAGUAAUUUAAACUGGAUGUGUGAUUUUCAGUACAGUUAUGUAAAAUGAAUAUGUUACUUUAUUUUGAUUGUCAGUUUCUCAACAGGACAUAAUUUAUUUUUUUGCAGAACAAAACACACAGAACUUUUUUUCUCUUUGUGCAUCAUACACUUGUAAAUGUUUUACACCAUUUUGGUUACAUAUUUUACAUUUAUGACGUGUAAAUCGAACAAACACAUGAAAAUAUGUGAAGCUGGAUACAUAUGCAAACAUGCAUCUACCAUAACCUAU
Molecule: long non-coding RNA, 1769 nt
Organism: Saccostrea cuccullata (small rock oyster)
Lineage: Eukaryota; Metazoa; Mollusca; Bivalvia; Ostreida; Ostreidae
Exons: 6
Source: RefSeq, a predicted model, not a curated record